UGCCAGCCGCCGCGGUAAUACGAAGGGUGCUAGCGUUGUUCGGAAUUAUUGGGCGUAAAGAGCAUGUAGGCGGACUGUUAAGUCUGGCGUGAAAGCCCGGGGCUCAACUCCGGGACGCCGGUCGAUACUGUUGUGACUAGAGUUCGGUAGAGGUGAGUGGAAUUCUCAGUGUAGCGGUGGAAUGCGCAGAUAUUGAGAGGAACACCAUUAGCGAAGGCGACUCACUGGGCCGAUACUGACGCUGAGGAGCGAAAGCGUGGGGAGCAAACAGGAUUAGAUA
Molecule: ribosomal RNA, 280 nt
Filed under: uncultured bacterium
Lineage: Bacteria
Description: partial 16S ribosomal RNA
Rfam family: Bacterial small subunit ribosomal RNA
Source: RNAcentral